RNAcentral lists this long non-coding RNA (232 nucleotides) under Elaeis guineensis (African oil palm). RNAcentral describes it as "long non-coding RNA (EGUI_LNC082569)". The record is from RNAcentral. Lineage: Eukaryota; Viridiplantae; Streptophyta; Magnoliopsida; Arecales; Arecaceae.
GGGUUAAUCACUACGCAUCCUGUAUCAUUAGAGAAAUGAGAUAUCACAUAAGAGAGCAUAAGAUGCAACGAUAGACUCAGAAUAGUGGGAUUACUACAAUAGGAUGUGAAGGAGAAGAAGAGAUUCAUUAUUAUGGUGUACUGGCAGAUAUCAUAGAACUGAAGUAUGGAUCCAGUAAUUUUAUAUUCUUAUUUCAGUAUGAAUGAUGGGAUAUUAGUAAUAAAAAGAUUGG